Molecule: ribosomal RNA, 471 nt
Filed under: uncultured bacterium
Lineage: Bacteria
Description: bacterial SSU rRNA
Rfam family: Bacterial small subunit ribosomal RNA
Source: RNAcentral
UGGGGAAUAUUGGACAAUGGGCGAAAGCCUGAUCCAGCCAUGCCGCGUGUGUGAAGAAGGUCUUCGGAUUGUAAAGCACUUUAAGUUGGGAGGAAGGGCAGUUACCUAAUACGUAUCUGUUUGACGUUACCGACAGAAUAAGCACCGGCUAACUCUGUGCCAGCAGCCGCGGUAAUACAGAGGGUGCAAGCGUUAAUCGGAAUUACUGGGCGUAAAGCGCGCGUAGGUGGUUUGUUAAGUUGGAUGUGAAAUCCCCGGGCUCAACCUGGGAACUGCAUUCAAAACUGACUGACUAGAGUAUGGUAGAGGGUGGUGGAAUUUCCUGUGUAGCGGUGAAAUGCGUAGAUAUAGGAAGGAACACCAGUGGCGAAGGCGACCACCUGGACUGAUACUGGCACUGAGGUGCGAAAGCGUGGGGAGCAAACAGGAUUAGAUACCCACGUAGUCCCUGAGCGGGCUGGCAAGGCGCAU